Molecule: ribosomal RNA, 508 nt
Filed under: uncultured bacterium
Lineage: Bacteria
Description: partial 16S ribosomal RNA
Rfam family: Bacterial small subunit ribosomal RNA
Source: RNAcentral
GACGAACGCUGGCGGCGUGCCUAACACAUGCAAGUCGAACGGAGAGAUACGAGCGCUUGCUCUUGUAAAUCUUAGUGGCAAACGGGUGAGUAACGCGUAAACAACCUGCCCAACGGAUGGGGACAACAGACGGAAACGACUGCUAAUACCCAAUAGACUCCGGUUUCGCAUGAAACCGACAGGAAAGGUGGCCUCUCGAAGAAGCUACCGCCGCAGGAGGGGUUUGCGUUUGAUUAGUUAGUUGGUGGGGUAACGGCCUACCAAGACGAGGAUCAAUAGCCGGUAUGAGAGGAUGGACGGCCACACUGGAACGGAGACACGGUCCAGACUCAUACAGGAGGCAGCAGUGGGGAAUCUUCCGCAAUGGACGAAAGUCUGACGGAGCAACGCCGCGUGAGGGAAGAAGGCCGUCGGGUUGUAAAGCUCUGUUAUUCGGGAAGAAAGAUUCGUUUGUUAAUAAUGAACGGAAGUGACGGUACCGAAAGAGAAAGCCACGGCUAACUACGUG